UAGCAUGGAAUAAUAGAAUAGGACUUUGGUUUUAUUUUGUUGGUUAAAGAACCAGAGUAAUGAUAAAUAGGAACAGUUGGGGACAUUAGUAUUCAUAAGUCAGAGGUGAAAUUCUUGGAUUUUAUGAGGACUGACUACUGCGAAAGCAUUUGUCAAGGAUGUUUUCAUUGAUCAGGAACGAAAGUUAGGGGAUCAAAGACGAUCAGAUACCGUCGUAGUCUUGACCAUAAACUAUGCCGACUAGGGAUCGGUCAACGUCUUUUUUGACUUGAUCGGCACCUUAUGAGAAAUCAAAGUUUUUAGGUUUUGGGGGGAGUAUGGUCGCAAGGCUGAAACUUAAAGGAAUUGACGGAAGGGCACCACCAGGAGUGGAGCCUGCGGCUUAAUUUGACUCAACACGGGGAAACUCACCAGGUCCAGACACGAUGAGGAUUGACAGAUUGAGAGCUCUUUCUUGAUUUCGUGGGUGGUGGUGCAUGGCCGUUCUUAGUUGGUGGAGUGAUUUGUCUGCUUAAUUGCGAUAACGAACGAGACCUUAACCUGCUAAAUAGCCCGUAUUGUUGGCAGUACGUGGCUUCUUAGAGGGACUAUCGGCUCAAGCCGAUGGAAGUUUGAGGCAAUAACAGGCCUGUGAUGCCCUUAGAUGUUCUGGGCCGCACGCGCGCUACACUGACAGAGCCAGCGAGUACCCUUGGCCGGAAGGUCCGGGUAAUCUUGUUAAACCCUGUCGCGCUGGGGAUAGAGCAUUGCAAU
RNAcentral lists this ribosomal RNA (753 nucleotides) under uncultured eukaryote. RNAcentral describes it as "SSU rRNA". It matches the Rfam family "Eukaryotic small subunit ribosomal RNA", at positions 805 to 1590 of the family's 1831-position model. The record is from RNAcentral.